GCCACCGUAGCUCAGUCGGUAGAGCAUCUGCAUGGUAAGCAGAAGGUCCGCAGUUCGAUUCUGCGCGGUGGCUCCA
RNAcentral lists this transfer RNA (76 nucleotides) under bacterium. RNAcentral's name for it is "tRNA-Thr". It matches the Rfam family "tRNA". From Rfam's summary of the family: Transfer RNA (tRNA) molecules are approximately 80 nucleotides in length. Their secondary structure includes four short double-helical elements and three loops (D, anti-codon, and T loops). The record is from RNAcentral.